This 217-nucleotide long non-coding RNA is filed under the name Pelobates cultripes (western spadefoot toad). Lineage: Eukaryota; Metazoa; Chordata; Amphibia; Anura; Pelobatidae. The record is from RNAcentral.
GCGAAAUCGACCAAGCGGGUCUCAGCAACGAAAAAUUAAGAAGGCAAAAGAAAAGUCAGCUGAGGCGAUGUCUGGAUCAAUUUUAAAAUAUGUUGCACCUUCAACAUCUACCGCAGUAGGAGAAAGUGCUGAAGACGUUCAGUCUGUUGAAUCCAGAGGUGAAAUGCCUGAAGUAUCUUCUCAAGAAGCUUCAUAUGUGAAAGCGCAAGAAUUGGAG